Culicoides brevitarsis is the source of this 1185-nucleotide long non-coding RNA. RefSeq lists it as uncharacterized. The record is from RefSeq and is a predicted model, not a curated record. Lineage: Eukaryota; Metazoa; Arthropoda; Insecta; Diptera; Ceratopogonidae. The transcript is spliced from 3 exons.
AGCUGGCGUAAAACUCGCAACAGAGCCACGCUGAUAGGACGACGAACAAAUGUCGUGAAAAUUUAAUCCUAAAAGCGAGCGAAUAGCGAUUUUGGGAGAUUGGUGCGGGAAUCAGCUCAAGUGAAUUCGAGGUUAUGCAAAUUUUUUGAGCGAAACUUUGAGGUCAGGAGCGAAUUUGUUAUGAAUUUAUUUGAAAAAGUUCAAAAAUUAGAAUACAUAUUUCAGGAAAUUUUUAAAAAAAUUUAAAUUUGUGAUUAUUUUAUUUUCAAAAAGAGCUAAAAUUGUUUAAAAUUUUGAAAAAAAACCAAAAUAAACCAAAAAUCUUAAUUUUAAAAGAAAUUUGGAUGUAUUUUCAGUGAAUACAAGCCUGGAAAUCAUCUGGAAUUCAUAAGGAACUGCUUCAAAAUCAACAAAAGCAUCAUCGCUGUCUUCAAAGAAUCAUAUCAAAAAUGAAAUUUAAGUAAUUUUGAAGUACUAAAAUAUUUUCUGUCAGUUUUUGUUGAUGAAUACCCGAAACAUCAAGACUGGAAAUCAUCUGGAAUUCAUAGGGAACUGCCUAAAUAUAAAAAAAAUCAUCACCGCUGUCUCAAAAAAAAAACUUUCAAAAAUGAAAUUCAAGUAAUUUUGAAGUACUAAAAUAUUUUUCGUCGGUUUUUCUCAAUUAAUAUCUGAUACAUCAAGUCUGGAAAUCACCUGGAAUUCAUGAAUACUUUCAUCCUAAUCAAAAAUGUAAACAAAAGCUCCUCUGCGGUCUCAAAAAAGUCUUAUUCUGAAUUAUAAAAAUCAAAUUUCAAGAAUUUCCGAACGACUUUUGUUCAAAAUUCUAAAAGUUUUAAUAAUUUUCAAAAAUACAAGCCUUGAAAUCAUUCGGAAUUCAUGAUGAAACUCAUCAAAACUCCUCCUCCUUUUGAAAAACAUCACAAAGUAAUUAAAAUUUUGAUCAUUUUUCACUGUUAUUUAAUUCUCCUUCUCUAUUUUUAAUGUUUCAUAACAUAUGAAAGCAUAUAUCAUACGUGCGAUAUCCUGUCACUCGAUUACAAGCGAAGCGAUCAAGGAACCUUUUUCAAUGCUACACGACAACCAUUCAGAUCCUUAUUUUAUUUGCCUAUAAUCGUGUAGCCACUUUUGAAUUCUAAUGAAUUACGGUUACAACUCUAUUUAUCAUCAUAGGUAAAAAAAAAAUUU